CUUUUCUCUCUCUUCCAGUUCGACUCCUUCCAAAAUCGCUCCUCUCCUCCUGUUGUGACGACGAGACAGCGCGACGAACACAACUCCUCUCCUCUCAGGCUUCGUUUCAAAACCAAACCCAUACCAAAAAUCUCAGCCCCAAUUGAAACCCCCAUUUAGCUCGAUCCCUGCCGUCUAUCUCCCAAGAUAAUUUUAAUUAUUCAAGGUUUGAGUUUUCUAAUUUAUAUUGUAAGUUUUAGGUUUUAAUAUUGGGCUAUGGUCUCUGCAGGUUUUCAAGUUUUUAAUUUGUAUUUGAACCAUUAAUUUGGAGACAAGGUGAGGAUUUCAUAUUAGUGUUGAACUAGAUGUAGAUUUGGUAAUGUUAGUUUAAUUUUGAGUUUACUGCUGCAUUCAUCAUUUUUUGGUUUUUUUUUCUUUUCCAAUUGAUUUUUAUUUUAUUUUUCUGAGUUGGUUCUUGUGUCUACAAGUUGCAUCUUAUUUUCAUAUUCGGAUUCCUGAAUGUGCUAUGAUGUCAUUCUUAAGUCUUUUUUUUUUUUUUUUUUUUCCUGGGCUCUGAAGUGAUGCUUUGUUUAGCCCGGAUUCUUCUUUUUUAUGUGGUUUUUUUGCUUUUGUUUGUAGUCUUGGUCGUGUGGGAUGGGGGAUGUGAGGAUUUCUCAUCCUCCUGUAGCCCCAUUGAUUUAUGAAUAUCAUCUUUGGAAGCUUGUUAUGAUUGAUUUUUUUCUUCUUCUUGUCAGUAUUCUACUAAAUGCGUUUGAAGGUUGCCUCUUUUUUGGAGUUUUAAUGAAAGCUACCUAACAACCAAACAAUAAAAGCCUCUGUUAGUUUCUUUAGUUUCCUUUUAGUCUCUCUAAUUUUUUGCUGACCUUGUGCUUUCUCUUACCAACUGACAAUUGGAUGUUCACUUGGUGUUGUCCUGCAGAAAGAAUGCUGUAAUUUUCUAUGAAUUGCUUGAUUUUCAUUCAUCAUGUGUGCAUCUACAUAGGAAGCCCUGUUUAUUACCUCCUCUCUCAUGCUUACUAUCCUAGGAUUGUCUACCCUUCAUGUAUGUGAGUUUUAAAUUUUCAUCAUUAUAUAUGUUAUUAAACAUUAGAGAUUAUUUAAGGCAUCAUCUAUUAUCUGAAUUCUGCUUAGUCUUAGUUCCAUGUGCAUUAAUUAACUCUUUAAUUCAUACAUUUACAUUUUAGCAACUUGAUGUGAUUACUGUGGCUCAUACCAAAAAGGCAAUCUUAGGCUCAUCAAGGAAAGUCGAGCUUCCAAGUGACUUACUGGAUAUUAGAUCAUUUGGUUUAUUUCCCUAUGUUGUUAACAUUUUUGUAGUGCUGAAUAUUUAUUUGUAUUGGAUGUGAGAUUUCAAUUUGUUGCUUUAUAUAAUUAUUUAGCAAUUUAAUUAUUUUUUUGCUCCUUUUGUUUACGAAGCUUUAAUUUUCUUUUUCAGUCAUACUAUUCUUUUUGUACUAUCUGUUUUUUAAUUUAGCUUGGCAUUGUGGUCGAGAUGUGGAUGUGAGUUUUUUUUGGCUGAAGAGAAUUUUUGUGACUCAUUUUGAAAACAUUAGGUAGAAUUUCUUAAUUGUAAUGAUAUUAUGAGCUCUGACAUUGAGUUCAUCUUCAUCGGAAUUGUUGUAUUAUAUUGAAGUUUGAUAUGGUAUUUAGGCGUGUAAUUACCAAAUUGUAAGGGGUUUUUAGCAGUUGGUGUACGUAACUUAGCGUAGAAUUGGCAACCUUUUUGCAUUUUCAUAAUGCUAUUACCAACUGACUAGUCUGUUAUUGCAAUUAGAGUAUGCGACAUUAUAUU
Molecule: long non-coding RNA, 1792 nt
Organism: Prunus dulcis (almond)
Lineage: Eukaryota; Viridiplantae; Streptophyta; Magnoliopsida; Rosales; Rosaceae
Exons: 2
Source: RefSeq, a predicted model, not a curated record